CUACGGGAGGCAGCAGUGGGGAAUAUUGGGCAAUGGGCGAAAGCCUGACCCAGCAACGCCGCGUGAAGGAAGAAGGUCUUCGGAUUGUAAACUUCUUUUAUGAGGGACGAAGGACGUGACGGUACCUCAUGAAUAAGCCACGGCUAACUACGUGCCAGCAGCCGC
Molecule: ribosomal RNA, 165 nt
Filed under: uncultured bacterium
Lineage: Bacteria
Description: partial 16S ribosomal RNA
Rfam family: Bacterial small subunit ribosomal RNA
Source: RNAcentral